GAUGAAGAACGUAGCGAAAUGCGAUAAGUAGUGUGAAUUGCAGAAUUCAGUGAAUCAUCGAAUCUUUGAACGCACAUUGCGCCCGCCGGUAUUCCGGCGGGCAUGCCUGUCCGAGCGUCAUUUCACCACUCAAGCCCAGCUUGGCGUUGGGGCACCCGGCCGCCUGGCGGUCGGGGCCCCCAAGAACAUCGGCGGUCUCGCUAGGACCCUGAGCGCAGUAACUCGCGGUAAAACGCGCUUCGUUCGGAGGCUUCCCGGCGGGCUCCAGCCGCUAAACCCCCUAAACUUCUUAGGUUGACCUCGGAUCAGGUAGGAAUACCCGCUGAACUUAAGCAUAUCAAUAAGCGGAGGA
RNAcentral lists this unclassified non-coding RNA (352 nucleotides) under soil metagenome. RNAcentral describes it as "partial contains 5.8S ribosomal RNA, internal transcribed spacer 2, and large subunit ribosomal RNA". The stretch from base 1 to 120 matches the Rfam family "5.8S ribosomal RNA", at positions 35 to 154 of the family's 154-position model. The record is from RNAcentral.